This 29-nucleotide small RNA is filed under the name Bombyx mori (domestic silkworm). RNAcentral's name for it is "ovarian small RNA-9195". Lineage: Eukaryota; Metazoa; Arthropoda; Insecta; Lepidoptera; Bombycidae. The record is from RNAcentral.
UGUUCUCGUGCGAGGCGGUGAGGCGCUUU